RNAcentral lists this ribosomal RNA (440 nucleotides) under uncultured bacterium. Its description in RNAcentral is "partial 16S ribosomal RNA". It matches the Rfam family "Bacterial small subunit ribosomal RNA", at positions 338 to 795 of the family's 1533-position model. The record is from RNAcentral.
CCUACGGGAGGCAGCAGUGGGGAAUAUUGCACAAUGGGGGAAACCCUGAUCCAGCGACGCCGCGUGAGUGAAGAAGUAUCUCGGUAUGUAAAGCUCUAUCAGCAGGGAAGAAAAUGACGGUACCUGAUUAAGAAGCCCCGUCUAACUACGUGCCAGCAGCCGCGGUAAUACGUAGGGGGCAAGCGUUAUCCGGAUUUACUGGGUGUAAAGGGAGCGUAGACGGCAGCACAAGUCUGGAGUGAAAUGCCCGGGCUUAACCCCGGAAGUGCUGUGGAAACUGGGCAGCUAGAGUGCAGGAGAAGUAAGUGGAAUGCGUGGUGUAGCGGUGAAAUGCGUAGAUAUUGGGAAGAACACCAGUGGCGAAGGUAGCUUACUGGACUGUAACUGACGUUGAGGCUCGAAAGCGUGGGGAGCAAACAGGAUUAGAUACCCCUGUAGUC